Molecule: ribosomal RNA, 446 nt
Filed under: uncultured bacterium
Lineage: Bacteria
Description: partial 16S ribosomal RNA
Rfam family: Bacterial small subunit ribosomal RNA
Source: RNAcentral
CCUACGGGCGGCAGCAGUCGAGAAUCAUUCACAAUGGGGGAAACCCUGAUGGUGCGACGCCGCGUGGGGGAAUGAAGGUCUUCGGAUUGUAAACUUCUGUCAUGUGGGAGCAAAUUAAAAAGAUAGUACCACAAGAGGAAGAGACGGCUAACUCUGUGCCAGCAGCCGCGGUAAUACAGAGGUCUCAAGCGUUGGUCGGAAUCACUGGGCGUAAAGGGUGCGUAGGCUGUUUCGUAAGUCGUGUGUGAAAGGCGCGGGCUCAACCCGCGGACGGCACAUGAUACUGCGAGACUAGAGUAAUGGAGGGGGAACCGGAAUUCGCGGUGUAGCAGUGAAAUGCGUAGAUAUCGAGAGGAACACUCGUGGCGAAGGCGGGUUCCUGGACAUUAACUGACGCUGAGGCACGAAGGCCAGGGGAGCGAAAGGGAUUAGAUACCCCAGUAGUC